CUUGCUCUUAUGAAGUUAGCGGCGGACGGGUGAAGUAACACGUGGGUAACCUGCCCAUAAGACUGGGAUAACUCCGGGAAAACCGGGGCUAAUACCGGAUAACAUUUUGAACCGCAUGGUUCGAAAUUGAAAGGCGGCUUCGGCUGUCACUUAUGGAUGGACCCGCGUCGCAUUAGCUAGUUGGUGAGGUAACGGCUCACCAAGGCAACGAUGCGUAGCCGACCUGAGAGGGUGAUCGGCCACACUGGGACUGAGACACGGCCCAGACUCCUACGGGAGGCAGCAGUAGGGAAUCUUCCGCAAUGGACGAAAGUCUGACGGAGCAACGCCGCGUGAGUGAUGAAGCUUUCGGGUCGUAAAACUCUGUUGUUAGGGAAGAACAAGUGCUAGUUGAAUAAGCUGGCACCUUGACGGUACCUAACCAGAAAGCCACGGCUAACUACGUGCCAGCAGCCGCGGUAAUACGUAGGUGGCAAGCGUUAUCCGGAAUUAUUGGGCGUAAAGCGCGCGCAGGUGGUUUCUUAAGUCUGAUGUGAAAGCCCACGGCUCAACCGUGGAGGGUCAUUGGAAACUGGGAGACUUGAGUGCAGAAGAAGGAAAGUGGAAUUCCAUGUGUAGCGGUGAAAUGCGUAGAGAUAUGGAGGAACACCAGUGGCGAAGCGACUUUCUGGUCUGUAACUGACACUGAGGCGCGAAAGCGUGGGGAGCAAACAGGAUUAGAU
RNAcentral lists this ribosomal RNA (722 nucleotides) under Bacillus sp. BADHU03. RNAcentral describes it as "bacterial SSU rRNA". It matches the Rfam family "Bacterial small subunit ribosomal RNA", at positions 75 to 783 of the family's 1533-position model. Lineage: Bacteria; Bacillati; Bacillota; Bacilli; Caryophanales; Bacillaceae. The record is from RNAcentral. RNAcentral also lists the same sequence under 1 other name.